RNAcentral lists this ribosomal RNA (253 nucleotides) under uncultured bacterium. RNAcentral describes it as "partial 16S ribosomal RNA". It matches the Rfam family "Bacterial small subunit ribosomal RNA", at positions 524 to 776 of the family's 1533-position model. The record is from RNAcentral.
UACAGAGGUCUCAAGCGUUGUUCGGAUUUACUGGGCGUAAAGGGCGCGUAGGCGGCGUGACAUGUCACUUGUGAAAUCUCCGGGCUUAACUCGGAACGGUCAAGUGAUACUGUCGUGCUAGAGUACAGAAGGGGCAACUGGAAUUCUCGGUGUAGCGGUGAAAUGCGUAGAUAUCGAGAGGAACACCUGCGGCGAAGGCGGGUUGCUGGGCUGAUACUGACGCUGAGGCGCGAAAGCCAGGGGAGCGAACGGG